RNAcentral lists this long non-coding RNA (711 nucleotides) under Heterocephalus glaber (naked mole-rat). RNAcentral describes it as "lncRNA (ENSHGLG00100047315.1)". Lineage: Eukaryota; Metazoa; Chordata; Mammalia; Rodentia; Bathyergidae. The record is from RNAcentral.
GAAAGGUUUUCGGAUGGACUAUGAUUCUUAGUGCCUUAUUUUCCAGAUGAAUCUCCCAGAAAUGAUUUGCUAGUGUUACAGUGUCUAAGGAAUGGGAAAGAAAUACUGGAAGAAAGUAGCGUGUCCUUGGAUUUGGUCCAAGACACUCCCACCCCCACCCCAGUUUUGGUGAUUGAAACUAGGGUCUCACUCAUCCUAGGCAAGCCUUUACCGUGGAGCUACAUCCUCAGACCAAUGGCACAAACUUACAUCAAUUAAUCUUUAUACACUGGUUUUCUUUUUAAUUGUUGUGGUGCUAGGGCUGGAACUCAGGGCCUCACACCUUGCUAGGCAAGUGUUGUGCCCCUGUGCUACAUUCUCCAAUCUUUAUAUACCAACAUACUUCACUUGCGUUGUGGUCAUGUUGCUUUUGCUGGGCACUUGAAGAACACAGUAUGUAUAUAACAGAGCAGUGAAAGAUAGGUUUAUAUUCUUUCAGACAAUCCCUUAAGCCUUAGCUCUUACCAGGAUGAUAGCUCUUACCAGAAUGAAGCAGUGGGUGGAGGAUUAAAAUAUCAAAGGUACCUUGGGUCAUGAACUUAAUUUGUUCUACCAUUCUGGAAAAGAUGCCACGUUUGUAUUUGUGUGGGAAAGUUUGCAAACAAAAACAAAAUUUUGCCAAACAUUUCUGUUUGCGAACUAAAUUGCAAACAAAAGUGUUCAUGAACUGAG